GAUGAACGCUGGCGGCGUGCCUAAUACAUGCAAGUCGAGCGAACAGACGAGGAGCUUGCUCCUCUGACGUUAGCGGCGGACGGGUGAGUAACACGUGGAUAACCUACCUAUAAGACUGGGAUAACUUCGGGAAACCGGCGCUAAUACCGUAUAACAUGUUGAACCGCAUGGUUCAACAGUGAAAGACGGUCUUGCUGUCACUUAUAGAUGGAUCCGCGCCGCAUUAGCUAGUUGGUAAGGUAACGGCUUACCAAGGCAACGAUGCGUAGCCGACCUGAGAGGGUGAUCGGCCACACUGGAACUGAGACACGGUCCAGACGCCUACGGGAGGCAGCAGUAGGGAAUCUGCCGCAAUGGGCGAAAGCCUGACGGAGCAACGCCGCGUGAGUGAAGAAGGUCUUCGGAUCGUAAAACUCUGUUAUUAGGGAAGAACAAAUGUGUAAGUAACUAUGCACGUCUUGACGGUACCUAAUCAGAAAGCCACGGCUAACUACGUG
RNAcentral lists this ribosomal RNA (497 nucleotides) under uncultured bacterium. Its description in RNAcentral is "partial 16S ribosomal RNA". It matches the Rfam family "Bacterial small subunit ribosomal RNA", at positions 28 to 507 of the family's 1533-position model. The record is from RNAcentral.